Molecule: ribosomal RNA, 380 nt
Filed under: uncultured eukaryote
Lineage: Eukaryota
Description: partial 18S ribosomal RNA
Rfam family: Eukaryotic small subunit ribosomal RNA
Source: RNAcentral
CAAUAGCGUAUAUUAAAGUUGUUGCAGUUAGAACGCUCGUAGUCGGAUUUCGGGGCGGGCCGACCGGUCUGCCGAUGGGUAUGCACUGGUCGGCGCGUCCUUCCUUCCGGAGACCGUCCCUACUCUUAACUGAGCGGGGGCGGGAGACGGGACUUUUACUUUGAAAAAAUCAGAGUGUUUCAAGCAGGCAACUCGCUCUUGCAUGGAUUAGCAUGGGAUAAUGAAAUAGGACUUUGGUGCUAUUUUGUUGGUUUCGAACACCGAAGUAAUGAUGAGAAGGGACAGUCAGGGGCACUCGUAUUCCGCCGAGAGAGGUGAAAUUCUCAGACCAGCGGAAGACGAACCACUGCGAAAGCAUUUGCCAGGGAUGUUUUCACUGA